Molecule: ribosomal RNA, 253 nt
Filed under: uncultured bacterium
Lineage: Bacteria
Description: partial 16S ribosomal RNA
Rfam family: Bacterial small subunit ribosomal RNA
Source: RNAcentral
GACAGAGGUGCCGAGCGUUAGGCGGAAUCACUGGGCUUAAAGCGUGUGUAGGCGGAUGCCUAAGUACCUUGUGAAAUCCCACGGCUUAACCGUGGAACUGCUCGGUAUACUGGGUGUCUUGAGCCACUUAGGGGCGACCGGAACAAACGGUGGAGCGGUGAAAUGCGUAGAUAUCGUUUGGAACGCCAAUGGUGAAAACAGGUCGCUGGGAGUGUGCUGACGCUGAGACACGAAAGCCAGGGGAGCGAACGGG